UGGGGAAUCUUGGACAAUGGGAGAAGGCCCGAUCCAGCAAUAUCGCGUGAGUGAAGAAGGGCAAUGCCACUUGUAAAGCUCUUUCGUCGAGUGCGCGAUCAUGACAGGACUCGAGGAAGAAGCCCCGGCUAACUUCGUGCCAG
RNAcentral lists this ribosomal RNA (143 nucleotides) under uncultured bacterium. RNAcentral describes it as "partial 16S rRNA". It matches the Rfam family "Bacterial small subunit ribosomal RNA", at positions 355 to 511 of the family's 1533-position model. The record is from RNAcentral.